RNAcentral lists this ribosomal RNA (256 nucleotides) under uncultured bacterium. Its description in RNAcentral is "partial 16S ribosomal RNA". It matches the Rfam family "Bacterial small subunit ribosomal RNA", at positions 793 to 1055 of the family's 1533-position model. The record is from RNAcentral.
GUCCACGCCCUAAACGAUGUUAACUCGAUAUUUAUUCUUCGGAGUGAGUGUCCAAGCGAAAGCGUUAAGUUAACCACCUGGGGAGUACGUUCGCAAGAAUGAAACUCAAAGGAAUUGACGGUGUCCGCACAAGCGGUGGAGCAUGUUGUUUAAUUCGAUGAUACGCGAGGAACCUUACCUAGGCUAGAAUGCGAGUGCCGAUUCCUGAAAGGGAUUUUCCUUCGGGACACAAAGCAAGGUGCUGCAUGGCUGUCGU